GACGAACGCUGGCGGCGUGCUUAACACAUGCAAGUCGAACGGAAAGGCCCCUUUGGGGGUCCUCGAGUGGCGAACGGGUGAGUAACACGUGAGUAACCUGCCCUUGACUUCGGGAUAACUUCAGGAAACUGGGGCUAAUACCGGAUAGGAAUCCUUGCUGCAUGGUGGGGGUUGGAAAGCUUCGGCGGUUUUGGAUGGACUCGCGGCGUAUCAGCUUGUUGGUGGGGUAGUGGCUUACCAAGGCUUUGACGGGUAGCCGGCCUGAGAGGGCGACCGGCCACAUUGGGACUGAGAUACGGCCCAGACUCCUACGGGAGGCAGCAGUGGGGAAUAUUGCACAAUGGGCGGAAGCCUGAUGCAGCAACGCCGCGGGCGGGAUGACGGCCUUCGGGUUGUAAACCGCUUUCAGCAGGGGCGAAGCUUGUGGUGACGGUACCUGCAGAAGAAGCACCGGCUAACUACGUG
This 465-nucleotide ribosomal RNA is filed under the name uncultured bacterium. RNAcentral's name for it is "partial 16S ribosomal RNA". It matches the Rfam family "Bacterial small subunit ribosomal RNA", at positions 28 to 507 of the family's 1533-position model. The record is from RNAcentral.